GAAUGCAGAAUUCAGUGGAAUCAUCGAAUCUUUGAACGCACCUUGGCGCCCCCUGGUAUUCCGGGGGAGCACACCUGUUCGAGUGUCUUG
RNAcentral lists this ribosomal RNA (90 nucleotides) under uncultured fungus. RNAcentral's name for it is "partial 5.8S ribosomal RNA". It matches the Rfam family "5.8S ribosomal RNA", at positions 69 to 154 of the family's 154-position model. Rfam says of the family: 5.8S ribosomal RNA (5.8S rRNA) is a component of the large subunit of the eukaryotic ribosome. It is transcribed by RNA polymerase I as part of the 45S precursor that also contains 18S and 28S rRNA. The record is from RNAcentral. Lineage: Eukaryota; Fungi.